UGAAAACCUGAGGCUCNACCUCAGGCCCGCAUUCGAUACGGGCAAACUAGAGUUNGGUAGGGGAGACUGGAAUUCNUGGUGUAGCGGUGNAAUGCGCAGAUAUCAGGAGGAACACCAAUGGCGAAGGCAGGUCUCUGGGCCAACACUGACACUGAGGAGCGAAAGUNUGGGGAGCGAACAGGAUUAGAUACCCUGGUAGUCCAGACCGUAAACGGUGGGCACUAGUUGUGGGAACCUUCCACGGUUUCUGCGACGCAGCUAACGCAUUAAGUGCCCCGCCUGGGGAGUACGAUCGCAAGAUUAAAACUCAAAGGAAUUGACGGGGCCCCGCACAAGCAGCGGAGCAUGCGGCUUAAUUCGACGCAACGCGAAGAACCUUACCAAGGCUUGACAUAUAGGGAAAAGUGGCAGAGAUGUCAUGUCCGCAAGGGCUCUAUACAGGUGGUGCAUGGUUGUCGUCAGCUCGUGUCGUGAGAUGUUGGGUUAAGUCCCGCAACGAGCGCAACCCUCGUUCUGUGUUGCCAGCAUUUAGUUGGGGACUCACAGGAGACUGCCGGGGUUAACUCGGAGGAAGGUGGGGAUGACGUCAAAUCAUCAUGCCCCUUAUGUCUUGGGCUGCACGCAUGCUACAAUGGCCGGUACAGAGGGCUGCAAUACCGCAAGGUGGAGCGAAUCCCAAAAAGCCGGUCUCAGUUCGGAUUGAGGUCUGCAACUCGACCUCAUGAAGUUGGAGUUGCUAGUAAUCGUAGAUCAGCAUCGCUACGGUGAAUACGUUCCCGGGGCUUGUACACACCGCCCGUCACGUCACGAAAGUCGGUAACACCCAAGGUCAGUGGCCCAACCGCAAGGGGGGAGCUGCCUAAGGUGGGAUCGGUGAUUGGGACGAAGUC
Molecule: ribosomal RNA, 890 nt
Filed under: uncultured bacterium
Lineage: Bacteria
Description: bacterial SSU rRNA
Rfam family: Bacterial small subunit ribosomal RNA
Source: RNAcentral